This 747-nucleotide ribosomal RNA is filed under the name Bacillus sp. (in: firmicutes). Its description in RNAcentral is "bacterial SSU rRNA". It matches the Rfam family "Bacterial small subunit ribosomal RNA", at positions 91 to 821 of the family's 1533-position model. Lineage: Bacteria; Bacillati; Bacillota; Bacilli; Caryophanales; Bacillaceae. The record is from RNAcentral.
CUCAGCGGCGGACGGGUGAGUAACACGUGGGCAACCUGCCCUGCAGACUGGGAUAACUCCGGGAAACCGGAGCUAAUACCGGGUAAUACAUAGCAUCGCAUGAUGCAACGUUGAAAGUUGGCUUUCGAGCUAACACUGUAGGAUGGGCCCGCGGCGCAUUAGCUAGUUGGUAAGGUAACGGCUUACCAAGGCCACGAUGCGUAGCCGACCUGAGAGGGUGAUCGGCCACACUGGGACUGAGACACGGCCCAGACUCCUACGGGAGGCAGCAGUAGGGAAUCUUCCGCAAUGGACGAAAGUCUGACGGAGCAACGCCGCGUGAGUGACGAAGGCCUUCGGGUCGUAAAGCUCUGUUGUUAGGGAAGAACAAGUACCGUUCGAAUAGGGCGGUACCUUGACGGUACCUAACCAGAAAGCCACGGCUAACUACGUGCCAGCAGCCGCGGUAAUACGUAGGUGGCAAGCGUUGUCCGGAAUUAUUGGGCGUAAAGCGCGCGCAGGCGGUCUCUUAAGUCUGAUGUGAAAGCCCACGGCUCAACCGUGGAGGGCCAUUGGAAACUGGGGGACUUGAGUGCAGAAGAGGAGAGUGGAAUUCCACGUGUAGCGGUGAAAUGCGUAGAUAUGUGGAGGAACACCAGUGGCGAAGGCGGCUCUCUGGUCUGUAACUGACGCUGAGGCGCGAAAGCGUGGGGAGCGAACAGGAUUAGAUACCCUGGUAGUCCACGCCGUAAACGAUGAGUGCUAGUG